RNAcentral lists this ribosomal RNA (429 nucleotides) under uncultured bacterium. RNAcentral's name for it is "bacterial SSU rRNA". It matches the Rfam family "Bacterial small subunit ribosomal RNA", at positions 355 to 776 of the family's 1533-position model. The record is from RNAcentral.
UGGGGAAUUUUGGACAAUGGGCGCAAGCCUGAUCCAGCCAUGCCGCGUGAGUGAAGAAGGCCUUCGGGUUGUAAAGCUCUUUCGGCGGGGACGAAACGGUCCGUGCUAACACCACGGACUAAUGACGGUACCCGCAGAAGAAGCACCGGCUAACUACGUGCCAGCAGCCGCGGUAAUACGUAGGGUGCAGGCGUUAAUCGGAAUUACUGGGCGUAAAGCGUGCGUAGGCGGUUUGUUAAGACAGGUGUGAAAUCCCCGGGCUUAACCUGGGAACUGCGCUUGUUACUGGCAGACUGGAGUGUGGCAGAGGGGGGUGGAAUUCCAGGUGUAGCAGUGAAAUGCGUAGAUAUCUGGAGGAACACCGAUGGCGAAGGCAGCCCCCUGGGCUAACACUGACGCUGAUGCACGAAAGCGUGGGGAGCAAACAGG